CCUACGGGAGGCAGCAGUGAGGAAUAUUGGUCAAUGGGCGAAAGCCUGACGCAGCGACGCCGCGUGAGGGAUGAAGGUCUUCGGAUCGUAAACCUCUGUCAGCAGGGAAGAACGGUCACUGUGCUAAUCAGCAGUGAAUUGACGGUACCUGCAAAGGAAGCACCGGCUAACUCCGUGCCAGCAGCCGCGGUAAUACGGAGGGUGCGAGCGUUAAUCGGAAUUACUGGGCGUAAAGCGCUCGUAGGCGGUAUGUCAAGUCAAGGGUGAAAUCCCCGCGCUCAACGUGGGAACUGCCUUUGAAACUGGCAAACUGGAGUGUGUGAGAGGAUAGUGGAAUUCCAGGUGUAGGAGUGAAAUGCGUAGAUAUCUGGAGGAACAUCAGUGGCGAAGGCGACUAUCUGGCACAUAACUGACGCUGAGGAGCGAAAGCGUGGGUAGCAAACAGGAUUAGAUACCCUUGUAGUC
This 465-nucleotide ribosomal RNA is filed under the name uncultured bacterium. RNAcentral's name for it is "partial 16S ribosomal RNA". It matches the Rfam family "Bacterial small subunit ribosomal RNA", at positions 338 to 795 of the family's 1533-position model. The record is from RNAcentral.